UGGGGAAUUUUGGACAAUGGGCGCAAGCCUGAUCCAGCAAUGCCGCGUGCAGGAUGAAGGCCUUCGGGUUGUAAACUGCUUUUGUACGGAGCGAAAAGGUCUGCCCUAAUACGGUGGGCUCAUGACGGUACCGUAAGAAUAGGCACCGGCUAACUACGUGCCAGCAGCCGCGGUAAUACGUAGGGUGCGAGCGUUAAUCGGAAUUACUGGGCGUAAAGCGUGCGCAGGCGGUUUUGUAAGACAGAGGUGAAAUCCCCGGGCUCAACCUGGGAAUUGCCUUUGUGACUGCAAGGCUUGAGUGCGGCAGAGGGGGAUGGAAUUCCGCGUGUAGCAGUGAAAUGCGUAGAUAUGCGGAGGAACACCGAUGGCGAAGGCAAUCCCCUGGACCUGUACUGACGCUCAUGCACGAAAGCGUGGGGAGCAAACA
This 427-nucleotide ribosomal RNA is filed under the name uncultured bacterium. Its description in RNAcentral is "bacterial SSU rRNA". It matches the Rfam family "Bacterial small subunit ribosomal RNA", at positions 355 to 774 of the family's 1533-position model. The record is from RNAcentral.